Molecule: long non-coding RNA, 506 nt
Organism: Vombatus ursinus (common wombat)
Lineage: Eukaryota; Metazoa; Chordata; Mammalia; Diprotodontia; Vombatidae
Exons: 3
Source: RefSeq, a predicted model, not a curated record
UUACCACAAACAGAACAUCCGCACCUGUUUCAAAGUCUGCCUAGGGGAUUGCUGUGCAAGUUCGUAUAAACUGUGCUCUCAUGGGCCAAUCUUAGUCUCUCCCAUUUCAUAAUGGUUUUAGACAUCCUCAAAAAGAGACAGAGCUGACACGAAGAGGGGAAAAAAUUCCCAGAGUUUUUCAUGAGCUUCGCAAAGAAGGAAUCAGCAGAAAAUGGAUUUGUGCCUCAGUUUCUCUUAAGCUGCACUGGAAAUGAAAAUGACAUGCAGCUGAAGCACCACCUGCUGAGAGGUUUUAUAUGGAGGAGAACAGCAGGGUCUUUGGCAUCUCCUUGCUGUCCAGCCAUGGCAACAGAAACUCAUCUAAGACCCAGAAGGAAAGAGGAGGGGAACAGACACCCAGAGAGAAACCAGGCAUAACCCUGAUGUUAUCUGGUGCAGCAAAUAACGUUGAACCUGGAGUCAGGAAGACCUGAAUUCAAAUCCAGCCUCAGAUACUUGCCAGCUGA